Long non-coding RNA from Eriocheir sinensis (Chinese mitten crab), 852 nucleotides. RefSeq lists it as uncharacterized. Lineage: Eukaryota; Metazoa; Arthropoda; Malacostraca; Decapoda; Varunidae. The record is from RefSeq and is a predicted model, not a curated record. The transcript is spliced from 2 exons.
UGGACCUACAAUACAGGGCCAAGGAGGGGUCAAUAUUGUACUUAUGCAGCAGAGGAUCACAUGAGCCCCUGAAUCAGAAAAAGGUCACAAUAAUCAAAUGAGCUCCCAAGUAGAGUCACAAUCUUUUGACUUGAAACACUACAAAUAAAAAUGCAUGUAAAAUGGCUAUAGAGGGAAAAAUACAAGUUUGCUGAAGGUAAAAAAAGAUAGCUGCUUAUAUGUAGAAAAUUAUGGGGGUUUGUGAAGCUUAGAUGGAAAGUCGCAAACCACAAAUAAAUGACCACUUCAGAAUGCAACAAAAAACAGUCAAGGUUCUUGCGAGUAAAAAAAUACAUGACAAAACUAAUCUUGUGUCCAGAGUGAGGGAAGGGAGGCCAAGAGGAUUGCUUUGGAAAUGAAAGAGGGAGAGGCUGACUGUGGGGAAAGAGGAAAGAAGGAAGGGAGGGUGGCUGGGGAAGAGAAAGAGAAGGAAAAGAGGAUUUGUUUUGGGAACGAGAGAAAGGGGGAAAGGUCGAUCGAGGGGAAAGAGGAGAGAAGGGAGGGAGGCUGGGAAGGAGAAAGAGAAGGAAAAGAAGGGAAAAUGGCUGAGUACAUGACCAAAAGCUGUUACUAUAAGAUUCUUGGAUACAACUGAAGUCCUACAAACAUGAAGGUUCUUGUGAGUUUAAAAAUACAUAGCAGAAAACUAAUCUUGAGUCUUGUGUAAGGGAGGCAAGUAGAUAUUUGUUUGGACUGAGAAAAUGACCAAAAGCUGUUACUAUAUGAUUCUUGAAGUACCACCAACAUGAGAGGUCCUUGUGAGCUUAAAAUAUAUGGCAGAAAACCGAUCUUGUGUCUAUGGUAAGGGAAGGG